UACGUAGGUGGCAAGCGUUGUCCGGAUUUACUGGGCGUAAAGAGCGCGCAGGCGGUCGUUCAAGUCGCGUGUGAAAGCCCCCGGCUCAACUGGGGAGGGUCACGCGAUACUGAUCGACUGGAAGGCAGGAGAGGGUAGUGGAAUUCCCGGUGUAGUGGUGAAAUGCGUAGAUAUCGGGAGGAACACCGGUGGCGAAGGCGGUUCUCUGGGCAUUACCUGACGCUGAGGAGCGAAAGUGUGGGGAGCGAACAGG
Molecule: ribosomal RNA, 253 nt
Filed under: uncultured bacterium
Lineage: Bacteria
Description: partial 16S ribosomal RNA
Rfam family: Bacterial small subunit ribosomal RNA
Source: RNAcentral